UACGGAGGGUGCGAGCGUUGUUCGGAAUCACUGGGCGUAAAGGGCGUGUAGGCGGUCCGCUAAGUCUGAUGUGAAAGCCCGGGGCUCACCCCCGGAAGGGCAUUGGAAACUGACGGACUCGAGUCCCGAAGAGGAGGGUGGAAUUCCUGGUGUAGCGGUGAAAUGCGCAGAUAUCAGGAAGAACACCAAUGGCGAAAGCAGCUCUCUGGGACGGUACUGACGCUGAGACGCGAAAGCGUGGGGAGCGAACAGG
Molecule: ribosomal RNA, 253 nt
Filed under: uncultured bacterium
Lineage: Bacteria
Description: partial 16S ribosomal RNA
Rfam family: Bacterial small subunit ribosomal RNA
Source: RNAcentral